UUAAGGUGAAUCGCAUAAAUUUGGUUUGUUAUUCUUUGGGCAUCAUGAGUGCUCUAUUUGAUUAGCGAUUAAUAUUUUAUUUAAGCGUAAGCUUUAUUAAGGGCCUUAAUAUAGAGGGGAUCAGGCACAGUGCCAGCAUCCGCGGUUAUUCUGUUUUCUCUGCUUUUUUGUGGUUUUUUGUUUGGGGGUAGUUAGGAAUAAAUUUAGGUGAAAUUUUUUUGUUUUUGUUACUAUUAUCUCUUGCAGUGGUAAGUAAUUGUGUAGUGAGGGGGAUUAGAGACCCCCGUAACUAAUUAUUUAAUUGAACUUAGUUUUAUAACUAAAAUAGUUUGGCAGUGAGUUAUUCCGGUCAGGGGAAGGUGUGUUUUAAAGGACGAUCCGCCUAUUAAUUUACCCCAACUAUGUUGGUGUAUAUCUGGUUGAAUAUUAUUGCUUAGUUGCUUGAAUUUGUGUAUUAAUAUUUAAGCUAAGUCUAUGUGCUGCAUGUUGGGGUUUUCAUGCGUUACAUUUAUAAACUUUAAUACCUGUAAUGGUUUAUGUUUUAGGACUUGAUAGUAAUACUAAAUGAGUUUGUUGGUGUGAAGGUGGUUUAGCUCAGGUACACACCGCCCGUCACCCUCGAUAUUUUUGAGGUAAGUCGUAACAAGGUAGCCCCAGAUGAAUCUGGGGCUAAUUGCUGUUAU
This 683-nucleotide non-coding RNA is filed under the name Spirometra erinaceieuropaei. Lineage: Eukaryota; Metazoa; Platyhelminthes; Cestoda; Diphyllobothriidea; Diphyllobothriidae. The record is from RNAcentral.